Oryza sativa Japonica Group (Japanese rice) is the source of this 1107-nucleotide RNA transcript. RefSeq lists it as uncharacterized. Lineage: Eukaryota; Viridiplantae; Streptophyta; Magnoliopsida; Poales; Poaceae. The record is from RefSeq and is a predicted model, not a curated record.
GGGGGGGGAUUUCGAGCGGCGGCGUCGGGAGCAAGCGCGCACGCAGGGUGUUUUUGGGAAGGUUCGAGAGCGUUCCGGUUGGCGUCGUCGGUGAUUUCGGGCGCGGAUCGCUCGAUUUGGUCUGGAUUUCGUGGCGAUCGGCGCUGGAUUUUUUUUUUUUUGGGGGGGGGGGAGGGGGGGCUGAGCUGCGGAGGCAUCGGAAUGGCGGCGGCAGCGCUGCCUCGCCUCCUCCUCGCCGCGGUGGUGCUGUGCGCCGCGUUCGCCUCCGUACCAGGGUUCACCAACCCCUCCGAUGCUUUCUGGGUGGACAUUUGAGGGCGGUGACCCCUGUGGUGGCCGCGGUGAACAACGGCCAUGGCAUGGAGUCCUUUGAAGGGAUUCAUCAUUCAUCCAUUGUCGCUUUGUAAUUCUUCAGCUAUUCGACUGUGUUGCAAUGCCGGACGGAACGCGCGACGGCGGCGUAGCCCGGACGACGAGGAGGAGGACGGCGACACCAGCGAGGAAGAAGAGAUGGACCAGAUCGAGAUGGCGCAGCUCGAGGGGAACAUCAGGCGGCCCGCACGAGGGGGACGGGGAGGCCGGCGAGAUCGCGCAGCCCCGAGCCCGCGCGCCGCCUGGGGGAAUCUCGCGCCACCCUGGGAGCCGCCGUCGCCGGCCGCGCGCACCCUACGAGAGCAUAGAUCGAGAGGAAGGAAGGAGAAACAGAGAAAGAGAAAGGGGAGAGAGAGAAGGUGACGUGUACACCUGAUAUGUGGGCCCCACGUAGGUCCCACGCUGACUUAGCCGCCACGUCGGACAAAACCGAGAUUAAAACCACCGAAGGACCUCUUGUAACCGGUUUUGAUUAGUUAAGAGACGCCGGAUAUCUGAUUUUGCGGAUUGAGGAUGUUUUUGUAACUUGAUGACAAGUUGAGAGACCUUCGGUGUACUUUUUUCCCUUUAAACCUCCCUGUUAUAAAGGCGGUCAUGUAAAUUCAUUGGCAUAAAAAAAACCUAGAAUUGUAAAUCUAGGACAGUGAAACUAUAAAUAGACUAUACGGGAUAUGUAAUAGGGAUCCAAUAUUACUUAAUUAACUAAUAUACUUUAUAAUCCUAUUUUUCAUAAAA